UGUGUGUUCAGCUUUUUAUUUUUUAAUUUUGAUUAAAUGAUUUUGUGAUUUUUCACUUUAAAAUAUAAAAUUAUUCAAAAGCAUGUGAAUCUUUAGAAAUACGUUAUAUGUUAAACAUUGGUCUUUUUCACCUUAAAACCAUAAGAGAUAACAAAAGAAGAAAAAUCUAGUAUAUUCACCUAGUACAACCCAAGCAAUAAAAAUCAAAGUCACUACAGAAGAGUUCAAUACAUAGAAACCAUAGUAAUGAUCAUAUUACAAAUUUGAAUUGUGGAAUAAUAAAGAUUAUCUU
RNAcentral lists this long non-coding RNA (292 nucleotides) under Physcomitrium patens. RNAcentral's name for it is "long non-coding RNA (PPAT_LNC007250)". The record is from RNAcentral. Lineage: Eukaryota; Viridiplantae; Streptophyta; Bryopsida; Funariales; Funariaceae.